Molecule: long non-coding RNA, 672 nt
Filed under: Papio anubis (olive baboon)
Lineage: Eukaryota; Metazoa; Chordata; Mammalia; Primates; Cercopithecidae
Description: lncRNA (ENSPANG00000043605.1)
Source: RNAcentral
GCUGACCUCUCCCAGGGCCCACGCAUCACACCAGGCAAGACUUUUUUCAUCUGCACACAGCACGGACUGGCACUGACUCCCAGCUGCCCUCCAGGCAGGAUGUGGACUCCCCCUGCUUUGUUCAUCAGUGUCAAAUGUCCCAGCUCUGGUUCCAACAAUAACACUGGCUCCUCGAACCUCCAACCCAAGGAACGGGUUCUGCCAAGACAAUGUGCCUUAGGAGCUGAGACUACCAGUGGACCAGAAUUCCAGCAGUUCUCCAGGUAUGAGCUCCCAGCAGAAGGGACAGUGUUGACUAGAGAAUCCAUCAGAAAAGUUUGUUUUCUGGAAGGACAGGACUGGCUGAUGCUGAGAAGGGAGGGGAGUAGGAGAGGCAGGAACUCCCAGCACAGACCCCAGCCACUCCACCUGUCACCCCAAAGAGCUGGUCAUGCCCCGGAUCACGUUCCAUCUCCCAGUGGGGAAAGGCAGCCAGCCACCCUCAGAGGAAAGCGUCCAUGUGGCCACCGAUGGCAGGGAGAGCAGUGUGGGGAGAAAUCUCUAUUUGGAAGAGGAGACAUAGUUGGGUGGGUGGUUCCCUGGCCUUAUCAGGCCUCUGCAGUCCAGCAUGGCACUGGGAGAGAUGGGCCGUCCUAUCUCUGCCCUGCUGGGCUUGGCUCAGUCCCCACUUAG